GGGGGUGUAUUGGUUUUGACAGCGUAGCUCUUUGAAGGUGUAAGCAUGCCGUGCGUUGGAUAAUUAGCACGUAAAUCUGAAUAUUCAAACUACAAAUGGCAAUACUCAGUAUGCCAUGGCUGCCUAAUCAGUGAUUAAGUAGUCAUUUGGGCCGCGUUGAGCAGGUUGGUCUGUUACCAAGCUCCGCCGCCGACUCAACAAACAAAACAGGCUGCUGUAACCGAAGGCUGUGACGGUUGCAAAAGACUAUCCAGCUAAGAAGAAGAUUGGUUUGUUGUUCCCCUGUUUUCUUCCGACAAUUAAUGAACAAAUAAGCAUGUAGAAAGCUUUUGAAGAAUAUGUUUGGACACCGGUUCGAGCCCGGUCACCUCCACUU
RNAcentral lists this transfer-messenger RNA (376 nucleotides) under Chitinophagaceae. RNAcentral's name for it is "UBA3961 sp014379515 X1 Standard tmRNA". It matches the Rfam family "transfer-messenger RNA". Rfam says of the family: Bacterial tmRNA, also known as 10Sa RNA or SsrA, is named for its dual tRNA and mRNA-like properties. Its role is to liberate the mRNA from a stalled ribosome. Lineage: Bacteria; Pseudomonadati; Bacteroidota; Chitinophagia; Chitinophagales. The record is from RNAcentral. RNAcentral also lists the same sequence under 1 other name.